UCGUACAAAACUCAAUCAAAA
Molecule: non-coding RNA, 21 nt
Organism: Caenorhabditis elegans
Lineage: Eukaryota; Metazoa; Nematoda; Chromadorea; Rhabditida; Rhabditidae
Source: Ensembl